GCUGGCGGCACGCCUAAUACAUGCAAGUCGAACGGGGUAGCAAUACCUAGUGGCAGACGGGUGAGUAACAUGUGGGUACCUUCCCUUUGGUGAGGAAUAACACGAGGAAACUUGUGCUAAUACCUCAUAAGUCUUUACGGAGAAAGCUUUAUGCGCCAAUGGAUGGGCUCGCACUUGAUUAGUUAGUUGGUAAGGUAAUGGCUUACCAAGACUUUGAUCAAUAGCUGAUUUGAGAGGAUGAUCAGCCACAUUGGGACUGAGACACGGCCCAAACUCCUACGGGAGGCAGCAGUAGGGAAUCUUGCACAAUGGAGGAAACUCUGAUGCAGCGAUGCCGCGUGAGUGAAGAAGGCCUUUGGGUUGUAAAGCUCUUUCGUCGGGGAAGAAAAUGACUGUACCCGAAUAAGAAGGUCCGGCUAACUUCGUGCCAGCAGCCGCGGUAAUACGAAGGGACCUAGCGUAGUUCGGAAUUACUGGGCUUAAAGAGUUCGUAGGUGGUUAAAAUAGUUGGUGGUGAAAUCCCAGAGCUUAACUCUGGAACUGCCAUCAAAACUUUUUAGCUAGAGUAUGAUAGAGGAAAGCAGAAUUUCUAGUGUAGAGGUGAAAUUCGUAGAUAUUAGAAAGAAUACCGAUUGCGAAGGCAGCUUUCUGGAUCAUUACUGACACUGAGGAACGAAAGCAUGGGUAGCGAAGAGGAUUAGAUACCCUCGUAGUCCAUGCCGUAAACGAUGUGUGUUAGAUGUUGGAAAUUUAUUUUCAGUAUCGCAGCGAAAGCGUUAAACACACCGCCUGGGGAGUACGACCGC
Molecule: ribosomal RNA, 806 nt
Filed under: uncultured Pelagibacteraceae bacterium
Lineage: Bacteria; Pseudomonadati; Pseudomonadota; Alphaproteobacteria; Candidatus Pelagibacterales; Candidatus Pelagibacteraceae
Description: bacterial SSU rRNA
Rfam family: Bacterial small subunit ribosomal RNA
Source: RNAcentral